RNAcentral lists this ribosomal RNA (328 nucleotides) under Potamonautes kundudo. Its description in RNAcentral is "partial 12S ribosomal RNA". The record is from RNAcentral. Lineage: Eukaryota; Metazoa; Arthropoda; Malacostraca; Decapoda; Potamonautidae.
AUCUCCUUUAAAUUUAAAGAAUUUGGCGGUGGUUUAGUCUAGUCAGAGGAAUUUGCUUUUUAAUCGAUAUGACGCGUAAGAUCUUACUUGUUUUUGUUGUUAGUUUGUAUACCAUCAUUAGCAGAUAAUUUUAAAAAAAUAAAUUAUUAUAAGUAAUUACUUAGGAAAAUUAGAUCAAGGUGCAGCUUAUGGAUAAGUUAAAGUGAGUUACAAUAAUAUUUAUUUAGACGAAAUAAGAUUGGCAGUUAUCUUAGGAAGGAGGAUUUGAUUGUAAUUUGAAAUUAAUAUAUUUAAAAGAUAUAAGGCUCUAAAUUGUGUACACAUCGCC